RNAcentral lists this ribosomal RNA (301 nucleotides) under uncultured bacterium. RNAcentral describes it as "partial 16S ribosomal RNA". It matches the Rfam family "Bacterial small subunit ribosomal RNA", at positions 509 to 807 of the family's 1533-position model. The record is from RNAcentral.
CAGUCGCCGCGGUAAUACGAAGGGUGCAAGCGUUAAUCGGAAUUACUGGGCGUAAAGCGUGCGUAGGCGGUUUGUUAAGUCUGUUGUGAAAUCCCCGGGCUCAACCUGGGAAUGGCAAUGGAUACUGGCAAGCUAGAGUGUGUCAGAGGAUGGUGGAAUUCCCGGUGUAGCGGUGAAAUGCGUAGAGAUCGGGAGGAACAUCAGUGGCGAAGGCGGCCAUCUGGGACAACACUGACGCUGAAGCACGAAAGCGUGGGGAGCAAACAGGAUUAGAUACCCCGGUAGUCCCUGUCUCUUAUAC